This 274-nucleotide ribosomal RNA is filed under the name uncultured bacterium. RNAcentral describes it as "partial 16S ribosomal RNA". It matches the Rfam family "Bacterial small subunit ribosomal RNA", at positions 523 to 796 of the family's 1533-position model. The record is from RNAcentral.
AUACGAAGGGGGCUAGCGUUGUUCGGAAUUACUGGGCGUAAAGCGCGCGUAGGCGGAUUGGUCAGUUAGGGGUGAAAUCCCAGGGCUUAACCCUGGAACUGCCUCUAAUACUGCCAGUCUUGAGUUCGGGAGAGGUGAGUGGAAUUCCUAGUGUAGAGGUGAAAUUCGUAGAUAUUAGGAAGAACACCAGUGGCGAAGGCGGCUCACUGGCCCGAUACUGACGCUGAGGCGCGAAAGCGUGGGUAGCGAACAGGAUUAGAAACCCUAGUAGUCC